RNAcentral lists this ribosomal RNA (254 nucleotides) under uncultured prokaryote. RNAcentral's name for it is "partial 16S ribosomal RNA". It matches the Rfam family "Bacterial small subunit ribosomal RNA", at positions 524 to 776 of the family's 1533-position model. The record is from RNAcentral.
UACGGGGGGAGCAAGCGUUGUUCGGAUUUACUGGGCGUAAAGGGCGCGUAGGCGGCCACCGCAAGUCGACUGUGAAAUCUCCGGGCUUAACCCGGAAAGGUCAGCCGAUACUGCGGGGCUAGAGUGCAGAAGGGGCAACUGGAAUUCUCGGUGUAGCGGUGAAAUGCGUAGAUAUCUGCAGGAACACCCGUGGCGAAAGCGGCGCGCUGGACCACUACUGACGCUGAGGAACGAAAGCUAGGUGAGCAAACAGG